Electrophorus electricus (electric eel) is the source of this 2976-nucleotide non-coding RNA. NCBI's taxonomy places the organism in Eukaryota, Metazoa, Chordata, Actinopteri, Gymnotiformes, Gymnotidae. The record is from RefSeq and is a predicted model, not a curated record.
GAUAUUUACACGAUCAGACCAGCCUUUCAUACUCCAUCUACGUCACGAAAGAAACGGUUUCCCCUUGGUUUUCCAUCUCUAGGACAAUACAGAGCAUCGCACCGACACGCAAGCACCGUGGCGCUGAAAAGGUGCACAGAAAGUGCCAGUGGGCCUCUUUUAUUGCCUGCAUACAUUUUUUUUUUCUAAAGACAAACGAUAGCGGAUACAGUUGUUUUGCCAGCUUCGCUGAAAAUGGAGAAAUCUUCCCAACAUGCCACCCUGGCAAAGCCUUAUUUAUGCCCAAACAGUCAGACACUGUCCAGAGCGUCACAGAGGACAGCCAUCGCCUGCUGACGCUUAUCUUAACAACAACGGCAGGCCGGCUGAGGUGGGAAUGCUUCUAUUUACACUCCAUUUCGUGGACCAGGAGGAGACUAGGGGAUGCGCGCCCUGCACAGGAAACCCAGAGUUCCCCCCAUGACUUCUGCUGCUUACAGGAGCCCCUCAGGGAUUGUGACCUCCUGGGUCAAAGUACAGGGAUGGUGGAAGAGUGACUUUCUGCCAGAGUAUUACCUUGUCAGGCACCGAAUCAGGAAGGAGAGGCAGCCAAACCUGGAAAUACAUCCAUUAGACUGCAUUUCAGGCCAGCGGAGGCCUUGAGAUGGCGGAUUAGCCGGGGAACAGCGGGGCCUGCAUAGUCUUCGCUCACGCAGCUAACAGAAAGCAGAUGUGAAGGCAGGCAGGUGGAAAGUCCGGCUCAAGGCCUGUGAUGGAGUGCCUGUGCAGGGUUCAGGAGCUCCAUAUCUGACCCUGGUACUUUUUGUUUUGAGCAUGCAAACCUCCACGCGGCAGGACGGAUGGGCUUUUAAGCUCAUUAGCCUUGCAGCCCGAACUGCUUUAUUUCAUGUCUGGUGGCUGUGGGGGUGUGGGGGUCAGGAAGUCAUCUGUCUGCUGCUGUCUGGGAUCUGAAUUAGAGCCCCACUGAGGAUCCUGAAGACUGUGGAGGUGUCGUGGUUAAGAAGGAAAGCAGUCCAACUCAACAGUUCCAGCACUCAAUCACAGCAUGGCCAAGUAAAAGGGGGGGGCAGUCACUCUCAGUCAACAUGUGAAAUGCUUUUCAAAUUUCACACUCUAUGUUCUGAGUUAGCAGGGGCAUGCGGAAAAGAUGAUGUAUCCUUGUGUUUUUUACUUUCUCUGUUUUUUAUUAACUUUUGUUGCUCCCUUUCUAUGCUUUAGAAAUGUUACAGUAAUAGCAAAAGCUUAUAUACACAGAUAAGUGUUCUAAUUUCAAGAACAUGUGCACCUUAAUGAGUGUUUCACUGUUCCUGGUGAGUCAGAAUAUAACAGCAGAAUCAUGUCUAAACAUAACGAUUAUUCAUUUGACACAUACAGUCCUUAUUCUCUUUUUGAAUCCAGGUGAUCACUUUACAAAAAGGUAACUAAAACACCAGCGUUUAAGCAGCCAGGAACUGCAUCUACUUGAAUGUCAUUCUUGAUAAAUCAUUAUUAUGCCCUCCAACAGAGUCUUGUCCCUCCUUAACUCCCUGCCAGAACAGAAAACCCUAUAUAUAGGUGGGGUAGUAAAAAUUGCAUAUAAACAAAGGGCAAAGGUGAUAUUUCUGGAUAUGUGACUGUGAUGAAUGAUGGGCAAGAAAUUAUAUAUAGAGGGAGGUGGUAAAAAUUGCAUCUAUAAACUGGUUUCAUCUCCUAGAACUUCUGAAGCGCUUUGCUUGAUAUAUAGAUAUAUGUAUAUAUAUCCAAAGAACAUUCCAGGGAGUAACUGCAGUGUACCGCAGUUAAAAUAUGAGUUAAAUAUAAGUUCUUGUGCACUACUUAUAACAGUCUCAUACCCAGAACUAGCACCUUUGCCCUUUCUCCUCAGUCAGACACUGCCUACUACGCUGCAAAGCUGAUCCUGGGUCUGUGUCCAUCUGCCCUGGAUCUGCAGCUCCACCCCUCUCCUGCAGGGAGGCUCCAGGAUGCCCAGGACAGCUGCUGCUGAUAACCAAGCUGCCGUUUGCUGAGUUUUCACAAAACAAGAUGGCAUGCAACCAGAUAGUGUGAAUUAAUACAUGAACAAUUCACACCGCCACUGCCCCCAUCCCUCCACCCACGAAUGGGAGCUGGAGGAGGUGGAUGCCUCUGUCAGCCUCAGUGGAACAUAUAUUCUUAACAGCGCUGGAAAACUAAACCUGAAUUUUCAGGGCACUCACUGCCAUAACUGAGACACUGGAAAUUCAGAGGCUGAAUUCCCCAUUUUGUCUUUCUUAUUACAAGACUAUAGAAAGGAAUUUCAAAGGGAAAGAUGUCUCCUCUCUAUGCUUUCAAGAGCUUUCUUUUUUAGAGCACUCACACUGUGCCUGUGUGAGCCUGUGCCAGUGAGCACCCAAAGCUGCCAGCCCCAGGGCGUCCAGGCCGGCCACGAACAGCAGGCACUGCAGCUACGACGACCCUGCCAGCGGCCUGUUCUGGUUGAUGGCCAGGCCACCAGAGCAGGUGUGUCUGGGUGGGGGGGAUGCACAGAAGAGGGCACAGGGAAGGAGUGAAUGGGGCAAAAGGCAGCAGGGCUGCGGCAGUAAUGACAACGGCCCACAAGGCUGCAAGACAGGCUGGGGAGCAGUGGGCUAAGGAGAGCGUGUAAAGCCAUGCUCCCAACAGCAACAGACUAGCUGCUUACCCUUUACUUCGAGUCUGGAGAGGAUCAGGGACGUCGUGAGAGGGUGUAUGGCCGAGCUGUGAUUUGGAUAUUAACUCACCAUGCUUGUUCCUCAUUAAACAUUAAUCAAACUUAUAUGGCUUAUUCUUAUGUGGCUAUAGUCUUGGGUUUCUUGGAAAACACUGAAAACUCUGUUUUGCCUCAAUAAAUAGAGGUGAAUGUCAAUCUUUCAUGUCAUGGUUGGUCAGUAACAAUCAUGAUAAACAUGAUUUGAAGCUCAACCCCAGUAAAACCGAGCUUCUGUACAUCCCAGGUGCUCCCAACCCUUACCAUGACCU